Molecule: long non-coding RNA, 5027 nt
Organism: Callithrix jacchus (white-tufted-ear marmoset)
Lineage: Eukaryota; Metazoa; Chordata; Mammalia; Primates; Cebidae
Source: Ensembl
AUUAAGACCUUGGGGCUUGGAGACAGGCAGUGACCGUCCCAAGAUCACUCAGCUGAUAAGUGAUGGAGCCAGGAUUCCAGCCUAGACUGUCUGACUGCAAAGGGCUAUACGGGUGGGAGUCUAUAGAGUUGGGGGGUGGGGUGACAUUUCCUAGCCACCCUCCACAUAAAAAAUGAAAAGCCACUGUCCUAAUUAUUUCUUUACCCUAAAGGUCCAAGGGUAAAAUCCCAUUUCUUCCAAGAGGCCCUGCCUUCUUUAUCCAGCCCAGACUGCUCGUUUUCUGACCUCCCAUUUAUUUCUCAACCAGAUACUGACCCUCCACUCUGUGCCUGUCGUAGAUAUACGUUGUGAUGGGCCCCAGAGUUACAAAAUCCAGUAGGCCCUGGUCCUGCCAUCAGGUCCCUGUGGUGCGGUAGGGAGAGGGACCUGAGUCACCUGAGCAAGUUAGAUGUCCUGCUGGGGGCCUGGGCCUACUCCAAGAAAGGGACAACUGUCAUGUGUGUUCCCUCUGUGGCCCUAAAUUGGAAUUUCAGUACUACGUUUUAUUUUCUCAUGGAUUCCACUGCAAGUCAUUUGUUUUCAGGAAUAGGGAUGAAGUCCUGCUGGCCUAUGGUUGCCUCGGUUCUGUCAUCUGUGAAGUAGUAUAUUGGCCCCAACUGUUCAGGCCUCAUUCAGGAAUCCCCACAGUGAACUCUUCCUCUAGCCUCAUCACCCAGCACCACUCUCCUCACGACUCACAUUUCCCAGGUUGGACUGAAGACUCUGUUCCCACAAAUGUGUUCCUCCGUCACCUCCUGCCCCUGGUCUCCACCUGCCGCAGUCCUAUUCAUCCUUCCUGGCUCAUCGUGGAGUCUACCUCCAUCAAGCCUCUCCUGAUUUCCCUAACGAGAUGUCAUCACUGACUCCUAACCCUUCCUUGCAGAGCUCAAGUUUCCAGCAGGUUGAGCUCAAGGAGAAGAUUACAGAUGUAACUCAGCAUGGACGCUCCCCUAAGAAGCCAUCCCUGACAGAACCCAAUGCCUUGAGGUCAUCCCUUCUUCCUUGUAUUACCUUGCACCCUGUAUACACUUUAAUCAUUGCUCUUAUCACGCUGAAGUGUCAUUAUUUACACACUUGUGCUUUUUUCUGCCAGAUUAUGAAUUCCAUGAAAAAAGAGAUUGUGCUUUCUGCAUCUCUAGCCAAGCAUCUGCCACAUGAUCUGGUAUACCUCUGCAGGUUUGUUACAUGGAUAUAUGGCAUGAUUCUGAGAUUUGGAAUGUGAUGGAUCCCAUCAUCCAGAUGGGGUUUCACCAUGUUCCCCAGGCUGAUCUUGCACUCCUAGACUCAAGGGAUCUGUCUACCUCAGCCUCCCAAAGUGCUGAAAUUACAGGAAUGAGCUACCCGGCCCAGCCUGGAAUUGACUCUUUAUAGCAUAGAGAUUUCUCCACCUUGGAGCAAUGCCCCAAGAUAAGUCUGGUCAGCAGUGAGGUGUGAUUUCCUUUUGUAAGGUGGGAGAAUGGAGCUGAGAAGGGAACAGGAGAGAGAAGAGGACCAUAAAGAGGAGUUCUCACAUGUAUUAAUUUUUGGAAAGUAUACUUAUCAUAGUUCAGAAUCUGUAAUUAAUUCUUUGAAAUCCUUUGGAAAGCCCUCAAAUAGUAUACCCAUUUGAAAACCACUGUUAUAAAGAAUUCUGCCAAGUAUAGUCAUUUGUUAACUUGACAACAGAGUUUUUUUUUUUUUUUUUUUCUCAGAAGACCUAUUAAUAUCUGUAAGAGCCAACAUUCUUGGAAUACUCCCUGGGAAAUGCUACUUUAAAGGUUUGAUUAAUAAAUCUUAAUUGGUUCCCCAAUUAGAUAAUAAAAUCUACAGUUAUGAGCCAGUGGUUUUUGAAGUUGUAGGACAACAGAUAUGAUGAUGAUGAUGAUGAUGAUGUUGAUAACUAUUAAUGAUUAUGUUAGUUUCGCAUAGCAGAUAGCCCAACAAACACAGGUGAAUGAAUACCAGCAAUGAGGUACUUUUCUCACACAACAAUCAAUUCCUGAGCAGGUAGCCCUAGAGUGAAACAGUAGCUUAACAAUGUAAUCAAUCACCCAGCUGUUUCUCUCCUGCCACUUCAUCAGCCUUAGCCUGCGAACCCUGUGCUUAUUACCUCAUGACUUCAAGGUGGAUGCUCUACCUCCAGCCUCGCAGUUAAAUUCCAGGCAAGAAGAGAGAGCAAGGCCGACAGAGAAAGAGGAACGAGGACUUGCUGCUCAGAAGCUCUGCCUUUUUAUUUGGAAAAGUCAAGGACUCGUACUUAACAUUGCAUCGGCCAUAGCUGGGUUUUGUGACCACCCCUAGCUGCAGGAAGCUGUGAGUUUAUUUCCUCUUUUAGCCUUUCUAGUAAAGGAAAGUAAAGAAGGAGGUGUUUGAGAAUAGAUUUUGAAUGAACCAGUUUACAGGAUCUGUCACAUCCUUCUUUUCUGAGCUAGGCACUUUACACAUAUUACGUUUAUUAUAAAAAUCCUAGGUGAUAGGUUUAUUAUCCCCGUUUUUCAGACAAGGAAAUGAAAACUCACUGAAGUAAAGUAACCUCAUAAGAUACCAUAACUAAUUUGUGUGAAAAAACUGGGAUUGGAACAGUUCUUCAGAAACUAAAGUCUGUGCUUUCCAUCUCUGACCACCGCCUGGGCUGUUUUGCUCUACAUCUGUUACAUUCCAUAUCCUUCAUAGUGUGAGGCCUAGAAAGUUCUGCUGGAGUGCGGAGGAGUGGGGUGGGAAUGAAAGAAUAAGAAAGACUCCCUCUGCCUAUCUUCCCCUCUUCCAUGUACCUUAAUCUUGACAAGAGCAGGUCCCAGGAGGGAAGGGCAGGGAAGGAAGCAGGUCACUGGGGCUACUUUUCUGAUUCUGACCCUGGCUGUUUAGGUCACCUGGACUCUGCAGGCCUCAGUUUCCACCUCGCUUUGCAGAGCGAAUUUCUGUGAUUUAAGACAUGGGAGAGACUGCAGAACUGUGGUCUAGUGGGAAGUGAGCGUGAUCACUCCUGAGGAAUUGUCCCCAUGCUCUGGAAGCUGGACCUAAGAAUCUACCUGGCACGAGACACCUUUUCUCUCCUUCCCCUCCAAGCCCACUGUGGAUUCAGAGAUGAUUUCCCUACAGGGGAUCUGGGCUGUGGUGACCUGAUGAGUCAGGACUGAUGAAGCAAGGGAUCCCCAGAAACUCCACGUGAGGGUGCAGACCUCCAAAACGUUCCAGAAUUCAGCUGCUUCUCAUCACUGUUAGCCUGGUCCAAACCAGCAUCGUCUUCAACUUAGAUGACUGUAAUGGCCUUCGACUGGUUCGCCCUGCAGCCACUUUGCCCUGCAGCCUAUUCUCUACAGAGCAUCCAUGGUGAUUGCAUAAAUGCCUCGGUCAGGCCAUGACGUCCUCUGCUUAACCCAACAGCAGCUCCCUUUUCUUUCAAAGUAAAAGCCAAAGUUUUGACAAAGGGCUUCUACCGCCAUACACAAUCUGCCUGCUGUUCCUUGCCUUCCCUGUCCCCACACCUUUCUAACCUCACUUUCUACCUCUUUCACUUUAAGACAUCUUCCUGCCUCAGGGCCUUUGUACAGAUUCUUCUUUCUGCUGAGAUCAUUCUUCUCCCAGAGAUCCAAAUGGCUCUCUCAUUUCCUUGAAGGCUUUGCUCAAAAUGCCACCUUCUCGUUGAGGCUAUGCUGUCUACCCUGGUUUAAAAAUCCCACCCGCUCCACUCCUUCCCUCAACACGGCCAAUCCUUUUUGCCCUCCUCUGCUUUUUCCAUGGCACUCAUCCCUGCCUAACAGUCUAUAAUGGAUUUGUUUAGCCUAUAGACUUUCCAGCCAUGUGGCAGAGACAACAACACUCACCAAAUACUCCAUGUGCUUCCUCAGAAUCGCUAGUCUUUUUGUUGGAGGUGACGCCAUGUGAUUAGUCCUCAGAGAGAGCAUUGUGAGUCACUUCCAAACUGUAGUACUGACAAGCCCAUGGGAAGUUCUUCAGUAAGUUUUUCGGUCUCUCUUUCCUCUGCCAUCACAACUAAGGAACCUCACAUGAAACCUCUUGGGCCCCUGAGUCAUUGUAUGGAAGACAAUUACCUUGUAGAAUCACAGUGGAUUUUGUGCAAAAGAGAAAUAAAUAAAGCAUUGUUUUGUUAAGCCACUGAGACUUUGCACUUACUAAUACAGCAUAACUUAGACUUCCCUGACAAACAUACCCCAUUAGCAUAUAGGAUCUAUGAGACCAGAAUUUUUUUCUGGUUUGUUCUCUGAUAUAUUUUGAGCACCUGGCUCAGUGCCUGGCACAUAAUAAUCCCUCAGUAGGUUUGUUGAAUACAUGAAUAGACUCCUGGACACAGGCCAGCAUCCCUGAACCAGUCUAGUUUCUAGCAUCCUCUGGUGUGUAGCAAAUUCCCAGGACCUGUGCUUGAAAGCUCCUUAUGAGUAGGGAAUAAGUCUCAGUCACCUUGUAUUGGCCCCAGUUUCAUAGGGCCUUGUACAUUGCUACUAUUCAGUCACUACAGACUGACUGACUCAUAGAAGUAACUGAAUGCUAGCUCAACUCUCUCCUGCAGUCCCCAGGUUGAAAGCUCUCAGCAGAAGGAAGACGCCCGUUCUCCACGUACUCCUGCAGUGUCAGCACAGAAUUUUGCUUUCACCAAGAAAACUAAGGUGUUCUGCCCUUAAGUUCUCACCUUAAAACUAAGGUGAUCCCCUUCAGUGACUCAUUCUCUGACCUCACAUCUGGCCUCUCUCUGUACCUGUGCUCACGCCUUCACUGCCCUCAUCCUGUUAAAGGACAGUCCUUGUGACUAAGCAGGGUGCACUAUUCUUUCCAGAUUUCUACCUCCCAUUCAUACCUCAGGCCUGUAUUUUCUGGCCUCUGACAUCACAGCUGAACUGCACUUCCUCUUGGUGAUGACAACUAGGACCUCCUGAUUGCCAAAUGCAGUGAGACUUUUUCACGGUGUGAUGCACUGGAGACCUUCAGCUAUUCUUGUCACCUGCUACUACUUUGGCUCCCACGGCACCAUCCUUUCCAGGUUCUGCUUACAU